RNAcentral lists this ribosomal RNA (519 nucleotides) under uncultured eukaryote. Its description in RNAcentral is "SSU rRNA". It matches the Rfam family "Eukaryotic small subunit ribosomal RNA", at positions 1161 to 1707 of the family's 1831-position model. The record is from RNAcentral.
AGGGCACCACCAGGAGUGGAGCCUGCGGCUUAAUUUGACUCAACACGGGAAAACUUACCUGGUCCUGACACUAGAAGGAUUGACAGAUUGAUAGCUCUUUCUUGAUUUGGUGGAUGGUGGUGCAUGGCCGUUCUUAGUUGGUGGAGUGAUUUGUCUGGUUAAUUCCGAUAACGGACGGGACUCUAGCCUAUUAAAUAACACGCAGAAUCUUGUCUUCUGCGGUGUUUCUUAAUGGGAUCAAGUGUGUUUAACGCUUUGAAACAGAGCAAUAACAGGUCUGUGAUGCCCUUAGAUGUUCGGGGCUGCACGCGCGCUACAUUGAAAGACAAAAUGAGCCUUCUAGUUUUUAAUAAAGCUAGUAAUCUUUGAAUGUUUUUCUUAAUGGGGAUAGGGGAUUGCAAUUGUGCCCCUUGAACGAGGAAUUCCCAGUAAGUGCUAAUCAUUAGUUAGUACUGAUUACGUCCCUGCCCUUUGUACACACCGCCCGUCGCUACUACCGAUUGAAUGGUUUAGUGAGAU